GCGGUGGAGCAUGUGGUUUAAUUCGAAGCAACGCGAAGAACCUUACCAGGUCUUGACAUCUUUUGAUCACCUGAGAGAUCAGGUUUCCCCUUCGGGGGCAAAAUGACAGGUGGUGCAUGGUUGUCGUCAGCUCGUGUCGUGAGAUGUUGGGUUAAGUCCCGCAACGAGCGCAACCCUUAUGACUAGUUGCCAGCAUUGAGUUGGGCACUCUAGUAAGACUGCCGGUGACAAACCGGAGGAAGGUGGGGAUGACGUCAAAUCAUCAUGCCCCUUAUGACCUGGGCUACACACGUGCUACAAUGGAUGGUACAACGAGUUGCGAGACCGCGAGGUCAAGCUAAUCUCUUAAAGCCAUUCUCAGUUCGGACUGUAGGCUGCAACUCGCCUACACGAAGUCGGAAUCGCUAGUAAUCGCGGAUCAGCACGCCGCGGUGAAUACGUUCCCGGGCCUUGUACACACCGCCCGU
This 467-nucleotide ribosomal RNA is filed under the name Lacticaseibacillus casei. Its description in RNAcentral is "bacterial SSU rRNA". It matches the Rfam family "Bacterial small subunit ribosomal RNA", at positions 929 to 1397 of the family's 1533-position model. The record is from RNAcentral. Lineage: Bacteria; Bacillati; Bacillota; Bacilli; Lactobacillales; Lactobacillaceae.